UAACUUCCAUGUUAAAGGUAAUCCUGUGGAUUUAUGGUUUUAUUAAAAAUGUUAUAAGGUGAUUAGUUCAAAGAAAUCCUAUAUUGUAGGUACGGGUACUUGGAAUGUUUGAGCAACAUUCAGGCUGUUAUGAAUGUUAUUAUAUAUAAAUGAUGGCCUUUAUAGACAUAUCCCUUUUUUUAAUCUUAACUACUAAUUUUGUAUACAUGUAACUAAUACUAAUUCUUUCUGUAAUAGAACAUUGUAAAGAAAAUAGAUGAGAAAAUAAAGAAUAUUAUGAAGAGAUUUUCAAAAGAGGAAAGUGGACAAAAAGGCCGUAAAAGGCCACGGUCAGAUACUUUGGACACUGGAGAAACAUCCGUUGAACCUGAAGAAAGUCCAGUUCCCAAAAAGAGGUUUGCAAAAGAGGAUAGUAGAGAGAGAAACCUCGAAAUGCCACUGUGUGAUAUUUUGGAAGCCAGGGAAACAUAUAUUAUACCCACAGAAGAUCCAGUUUCCCAAAAGAACAUUCCAAAAGUAGAAAGUACAAGAAAAGUCUGUAAAAGGCCACGGUCUGAUAUUUUGGACAACCUGCCAGAUGACAAAAGAUUUAAACCAGACAGAGCUGACUUAUAGAAGACCCCAAUAAUGAUAGAUGGGAUAGGAGACAAUAAAAUGACGUCAAAGUCCUCAGAAGCCGAAAGACUGUUAUCAGAGGUACAGGUAAUAUCUUUAUCUUAUAUAUUAGGUAUAAUACAUGUAGUGAUUUGACAUUUUGAAGUUCGGAAUGAGAUGACGUUUCAAGCAUGUCUUUUAUUAUUGUAGAUCUCAGAAACCACUGACAAGAGACAUAAGAAUUCAGAGCCAAAAAGUCCAAAAGGGGUAAUUAAAGAGAAGUGUCUUAAAAGACCACUUCCUGAAGAAGAAGAAACAAAAAGAAGAAAAUAAAGAAAAUGGAGAUGAGCCAAAGAAGAAAAAAAUUAGAAAUGUAUCACAGCAGCAAUGAGAAGAGCUAAGAAGUCUAACUGUCCAAUUGGUUUAAAUAAAAAAUAUGUUUCUAUACUUUGA
This is a long non-coding RNA of Xenopus laevis (African clawed frog), 1047 nucleotides long. RefSeq lists it as uncharacterized. The transcript has 2 exons. The record is from RefSeq and is a predicted model, not a curated record. NCBI's taxonomy places the organism in Eukaryota, Metazoa, Chordata, Amphibia, Anura, Pipidae.